GUUAUUUGGCUUUGCCCAUGGAGAGAGAUUUUGCCCAUUGUGAGUGACUUCGCCCAGGAUUUCAGCCUAUUAUAGAGAGAGGUGAAAGAGAUUUUGCCCAUUGUGAGUGACUUCGCCCAGGAUUUCAGCCUAUUAUAGAGAGAGGUGAAAGAGAUUUUGCCCAUUGUGAGUGAUUUCGCCCAGGAUUUCAACCUAUUAUAGAGAGAGAUUUUGCCAAUUUUUGAAGACUUGGCUCUGCUUAUUAAUGAGGGGCUCUUGCCCAUUACAGUCUCACGAGGGAAAGAAGUUUCAGCAUAAGGUGGUUAAAGGGCAUAAUCAAAUGAAGAAAUUAUUAUCCAUUGUAGUUUAAGACACCCUGGUGUAGUAAUUGUAGUUGUAAAUAUAUUGGGUUAUGUCUAAAGGAGAUUGAGAGGACUACUAAUG
This 423-nucleotide unclassified non-coding RNA is filed under the name Hevea brasiliensis (rubber tree). Lineage: Eukaryota; Viridiplantae; Streptophyta; Magnoliopsida; Malpighiales; Euphorbiaceae. The record is from RNAcentral.